Molecule: microRNA, 23 nt
Filed under: Pan troglodytes (chimpanzee)
Lineage: Eukaryota; Metazoa; Chordata; Mammalia; Primates; Hominidae
Also listed under: 2 other names
Description: ptr-miR-605
Gene: ptr-miR-605
Source: miRBase by way of RNAcentral
UAAAUCCCAUGGUGCCUUCUCCU